AUACGGAGGGUGCAAGCGUUAUCCGGAUUUAUUGGGUUUAAAGGGUGCGCAGGCGGACCUGUCAGUCAGUGGUGAAAUCCCGGGGCUCAACCCCGGAACUGCCAUUGAUACUACAGGUCUUGAAUACGGUUGAAGUAGGCGGAAUGUAGCAUGUAGCGGUGAAAUGCAUAGAUAUGCUACAGAACACCGAUCGCGAAGGCAGCUUACUGAGCCGAUAUUGACGCUCAGGCACGAAAGCGUGGGGAGCGAACAGGAUUAGAUACCCGAGUAGUCC
RNAcentral lists this ribosomal RNA (274 nucleotides) under uncultured bacterium. Its description in RNAcentral is "partial 16S ribosomal RNA". It matches the Rfam family "Bacterial small subunit ribosomal RNA", at positions 523 to 796 of the family's 1533-position model. The record is from RNAcentral.